This 253-nucleotide ribosomal RNA is filed under the name uncultured bacterium. Its description in RNAcentral is "partial 16S ribosomal RNA". It matches the Rfam family "Bacterial small subunit ribosomal RNA", at positions 524 to 776 of the family's 1533-position model. The record is from RNAcentral.
GACGGAGGAUGCAAGUGUUAUCCGGAAUCACUGGGCGUAAAGCGUCUGUAGGUGGUUUAAUAAGUCAACUGUUAAAUCUUGAGGCUCAACCUCAAAAUCGCAGUCGAAACUAUUAGGCUAGAGUAUAGUAGGGGUAAAGGGAAUUUCCAGUGGAGCGGUGAAAUGCGCAGAUAUCAGGAGGAACACCGGUGGCGAAGGCGGAUCUCUGGGCCGUAACUGACGCUGAGGAGCGAAAGCAUGGGGAGCGAACAGG